GACACGUUCCACUACAUAUUCAUUUUCUCCAAAAAUAACAAAAGGAAAAAAAUAAAAACUCUCGUCUCUCUCUAGAUGAUGGCUACCCCUCACUCACUUACCAACUCUCCUCAUAUUCUCUUUUUCGGCUAAAAAACGAAGAAAAAAGAAAACGAAAAAGCAAAAGAAAAGAGGAGACCCAUUCGAUAAUCCUCCAGUCUCUG
This 203-nucleotide long non-coding RNA is filed under the name Lathyrus oleraceus (garden pea). RNAcentral describes it as "Pisum sativum (pea) long non-coding RNA (PSAT_LNC023445)". Lineage: Eukaryota; Viridiplantae; Streptophyta; Magnoliopsida; Fabales; Fabaceae. The record is from RNAcentral.